This 486-nucleotide ribosomal RNA is filed under the name uncultured bacterium. RNAcentral describes it as "bacterial SSU rRNA". It matches the Rfam family "Bacterial small subunit ribosomal RNA", at positions 355 to 855 of the family's 1533-position model. The record is from RNAcentral.
UGGGGAAUCUUGGACAAUGGGGGCAACCCUGAUCCAGCCAUGCCGCGUGAGUGAUGAAGGCCUUAGGGUCGUAAAGCUCUUUCGCCUGUGAAGAUAAUGACGGUAGCAGGUAAAGAAACCCCGGCUAACUCCGUGCCAGCAGCCGCGGUAAUACGGAGGGGGUUAGCGUUGUUCGGAAUUACUGGGCGUAAAGCGCACGUAGGCGGACCAGAAAGUUGGGGGAUGAAAUCCCGGGGGCUCAACCCCGGAACUGCCUCCAAAACUAUUGGUCUAGAGUUCGAGAGAGGUGAGUGGAAUUCCAAGUGUAGAGGUGAAAUUCGUAGAUAUUUGGAGGAACACCAGUGGCGAAGGCGGCUCACUGGCUCGAUACUGACGCUGAGGUGCGAAAGUGUGGGGAGCAAACAGGAUUAGAUACCCUGGGUAGUCCACACCGUAAAACGAUGAAUGCCAGUCGUCGGGUAGCAUGCUAUUCGGUGACACACCUAA